This 402-nucleotide ribosomal RNA is filed under the name uncultured bacterium. RNAcentral describes it as "bacterial SSU rRNA". It matches the Rfam family "Bacterial small subunit ribosomal RNA", at positions 355 to 774 of the family's 1533-position model. The record is from RNAcentral.
UGGGGAAUCUUGCACAAUGGGGGCAACCCUGAUGCAGCGACGCCGCGUGAGCGAUGAAGCCCUUCGGGGCGUAAAGCUCUUUCGACCGGAACGAUAAUGACGGUACCGGGAGAAGAAGCUGCGGCUAACUACGUGCCAACAGCCGCGGUAAUACGUAGGCAGCAAGCGUUGUUCGGAGUUACUGGGCGUAAAGAGUGCGUAGGCGGUUUUCUAAGUUCGGUGUGAAAUCUCCCGGCUUAACUGGGAGGGUGCGCCGAAGACUGGGAAGCUGGAGUGUGGGAAAGGCAGGCGGAAUUCCUGGUGUAGCGGUGAAAUGCGUAGAUAUCAGGAGGAACACCGGCGGUGUAGACGGCUUGCUAGACCAUAACUGACGCUGAGGCACGAAAGCGUGGGUAGCAAACA